CGUGACUCUCGAUUUCUCUUCGUCUUAUUGAAACCCAAACCACCGAUACUGUGAGACUCAGCCCCAAUGCCUCUCUCUCCCUCUGUUUACAUCAUCUCGACCUUAACCUGAUCUGCAAUUUCUAGCCAGAUCUGUCGUUUCUCUUCUUGAUCUCCUCCACCGUGCCUUAGAAACGGUGGUUUCGAUAAUUCUCUCUCUCUCUCUCUCCACCCUCCACCAUCCAUGGCUAGAGAAGCUACCUAGCUCUGACUUAAUUUCUUUUUUUCCUUUUUUUAUGUUUUAAUUUGUUCCAGUCAAUUUUUGGUCGGGAUUGUUUUAUGAUUUUCUGUUUCUGAGUCUAGGUUUAAUUAUUUGUUUUUCUUGAAUAAGGUGUUGGAGGCCUCGAUGGCUGAAGCCUCUGCUCAGUGAGAACUUCUUUGUUCAGUGCAAAGUUACACGCAAAUUUCCACUAAGAGCAGUUUAAUAAAUGGGUUUAGAUUUUUUUUCUUGCAUAUCAUGGUUUUCUACAGCGUUGAGUUUAGCUUUACUCAAAUAUUUUCCUCUAUGACCCUCAUUUUCUUAGUUUCUUAUAAUUUUAUUUUUCAAGGUGUCUACAAGAAGAACACGAAGAAAACCCUUACUCGAUCUCCAUUGCAGUAAAUCUCCAUCACUGGUUGAUCUGUGUAGCUGCUGCACAUAUCCUCAAUGAUGCAUCAUUUAAGGUGAUCUUGCUAGAAUCAAAGGAUAUAUUUGGCAGUCGUAUUCAUACAGACUACUCAUUUCGUUGUCUAGUAGAAAUGGGAGCAUCAUGCUUAAUAUUGUUGUUCUUCAUUAUCAAAAUCAAAAGCUUGUACAAAAGUUAGAAGCUCAGAAGAUAAGAGUAUUUUUCCAAACAAAUUCUCUCAACUAAAGCAGGCACAACAACCGUUUGAUUUGACAUUAGCAGUGAUCAAUAAGUCACUAGAUAAGCUUGUGAAUGGUUUGGAAUCAUUUUCUAUUUGAACAAGAGAUUCAAGUAGUGAACGAGAUGGCAAACAUAUGCUGGUUAUGGACGUCUGUCAGCAUUAAUGAGUUCUUGAAGCCUGCCCAAGGAGAAAGGUAUUACAGCCCAGGUAGUCGUGGCAGCCUCAUUCUAGGAGAAUAUUGCAACACAACUUUCCUAAAAGAUCGGAUGAUUCAGCUUGGUGUAGAUAUAGAUCAACUCAAGCAACAGUAUAAAAAAUUCAAUAUCCUCUCAAUAAAUCCUGCAGAAAAGUGCACAACAUGCGAAAUUAUGUAUUAAACUAUGGUUCAUAUAUGAUGUGUACCAUUUUAGUUUGGAAACUUGUAUCAAACACAGUUGACAUUAGGCAUGUAUGGUACUUUAUUUUGUAAACUUGUAUCAAACUUUGUUUUUGUUUCUAUACA
This is an RNA transcript of Juglans regia (Persian walnut), 1386 nucleotides long. It is a transcript of the gene named polyamine oxidase 5-like, with no coding region annotated. The transcript is spliced from 6 exons. Lineage: Eukaryota; Viridiplantae; Streptophyta; Magnoliopsida; Fagales; Juglandaceae. The record is from RefSeq and is a predicted model, not a curated record.